RNAcentral lists this transfer RNA (76 nucleotides) under Burkholderia cepacia. RNAcentral describes it as "tRNA-Asn". RNAcentral also lists the same sequence under 1 other name. Lineage: Bacteria; Pseudomonadati; Pseudomonadota; Betaproteobacteria; Burkholderiales; Burkholderiaceae. The record is from RNAcentral.
UGACCGAAACGCACAACGGCGUGCGGCCCGGCUGUUAACCGGUGUGAGUCAGGUUCGAUCCCUGAUCGGUCAGCCA